RNAcentral lists this long non-coding RNA (3147 nucleotides) under Homo sapiens (human). RNAcentral describes it as "long non-coding RNA NONHSAT212387.1". Lineage: Eukaryota; Metazoa; Chordata; Mammalia; Primates; Hominidae. The record is from RNAcentral.
UUGCUACCAAUAGUUCCUUUUUUCUCAUCUCACCUUACACUGUCUCCAUGUCCUGAUGUGCUUCAACUCAGAAGCACUGGAACUCUCUUGAUACCAAAGUUGUGUUAUGGUGUGUGAUAAGGUUGAUGAUGGUGGGUGUUAUGGGUUGAAUUGCAUCCCCCAAAAAAGAUAUUGAAGUCCUACCCUCCAGGACCUGUGAUUGUCACCUUAUUUGGAAAUAAGUUCUUUAUAGAUGAUCAAGUUAAGAUGAGGUCAUUGGGGUGGGCCUUAAUCUAAUAUGACUGGGUUCAUAUAAGAUAGAAUAGAAACGGAAGGAAGAGAAGAUGGUGUGAAUACACAGGGAGAGCACCGUCAACAAGUGAAGGAACUCCUGAGGCUCCUGAUGCUAAGAGAGAGAGACAUGGAAGACAUUCUCCCUCACAGCCCCCAGAAAGAAUCAACUUCUCUCAUACUUUAAUUUUGGACUCCAAACUCUCAGAACAAUACAGUUCUGUUGUUUAAGCCACCCAAUUUGUGCUUUCUUACAGCAGUCCCUGGAAAGUAAUACAGUGGAGGAGGACCCCCAUGAUUACAUUCUGCGAGAGGAGUUCCUAAGCAUUGCAGCAUGAAAAACAGUGCUUAAAAGCUUAAGCAAUAUUUUUCAAAAUAUUGACCUAUCUCAGUAGGAACUGAGAUAGGCAACAAAUCUGACUGACAGAAUACAUUUCAAACUUUCAAAAUUGUGUCUUCCUCUUACUGUGGGUCCUUACCCCUGAACAAAGUUCAUCACACCUGGCUUCACGUUGCAGGGUAUAUUUUUUUGAUGCCUGCCUUAUCUGGCUUCCAGUCAUGCCCUGGAAUUUGAGUGUCUCUCAAAUGUAAAAAUCAAAAAGUAUAUUGUAAAAAUGUCUAUACUAUGCAAAGUAAUAUACAGAUUCAAUGCAAUUUCUAUCAAGAUUCCAAUGACAUUUUUCACAGAAAUAGAAAAAAAUCUAAAAUUUAUAUGAAAACAUCAAAGACAUCAAAUAGCCAAAACAAUCUUGAACAAAAAGAACAAAGCUGGAAGCAUUACACUAUUUGAUUUCAAAAUGUACUGCAAAGCUAUAGCAAUCAAAACAACAUGGUACUGGCACAAAAACAGAAAUAUGGACCAAUGAAAUUGAACAGAGAGCCCAGAAAUAAAUUCACCCAUUUACAGUUAACUGAUCUUCAACAAAAGUGCCAAGAUCAUACAACUGAGAAAGGACAGUCUCUUCAAUAAAUGGUGCUGGAAAAACUUGAUAUCCACAUGCAGAAGAAUGAAAUUGGACCCUUAUUUCAUCCCAUAUACAAAAAUCAACAUAAAAUGGAUUAAAGACUUAAAUGUAAGACCAGAAACUAUAAAACUAUUAGAAGAAAACCUAGAGACAUUGACAUUGGUCUUGGCAAAGAUUUUUUGGAUAUGACCCCAAAAGCACAGGCAGCAAAAGCAAAACUAGACAAAUGGAAUUACAUCAAACCAAAAAAAUAGCUUCACAGCAAAAGAAGCAAUCAACAGAGUGAAGAGAAAACCUAUGCAAUGGGAGAAAAUAUAUGUAAAUCAUACAUGAAAUAAGGAACUAAUAUCCAAAAUAUAUAAGAAAUUCAAACAUCUGAACAGCAAAAAAAAAAAAAAAAAGAAAAUUUAAAAAUGGGCAAAAGAUCUGAACAGACAUUUCUGCAAACAGAAUGUAUGAAAGGCCAACAGGUAUAUGAAGAGAUGCUCAACAUCACUAAUCAUUGGAGAAAUGCAAAUUAAAACCACAAUUAGAUAUCUAUCAUCUCACCUCUCUAAGAUAAGCAUUUGCAAAAAUGUGGAGAAAAGAGGACCCUUGCACGCAGUUGGUGGAAAUGUACAUUAGUAUAGCCUCAUGGAAAAUAGUAUGGAGGUUCCUCAAAAAAUUAAAAAUAGGACUACCAUAUGAUCCAGCAAUCUCACUUCUGAAUAUGUAUCCAAAGGAAAUGAAAUCAGUAUGGUAAAAAGAUAUCUGCAUUCCCAUAUUCAUUGCAACAUUACUUGCAAUAGCCAAGAUAGGGAAUCAACUGAUGAAUGAAUAAAGAAAAUGUGGUAUACAUAAUAUAAUGGAAUACCAUUUUGCCUUAAAAAGGAGGAAAUCGGGUCAUCUGCAACAAGCUAAGUGAAAAAAACCAGGCACAGAAGGACAAAUACUGUAUGAUCUCACUUACAUGUGGAAUUUAAAAAAGUUUAACUCAUAGAAGCAAAGGGUAGAAUAGUGGUUGCCAGGGACUGGGGCUAGGGGUGGGAGCAGGGAAUGGGGAGUUAUGGUCAAAGACUACAAAGUUUCAAAUAGACAGGAGGAAUAAGAUCUGGUGAACUAUAGUACAGCAUGUGACUAUAGUUAAUAAUAUUGUAUUGUACACUUGAAAGUUGCUAAGAGAGUAGAUUUAAAUGUUCUCAUCACCAAAAAUGAUAAAUAUAUGCAGAAGUGACAGAUAUAUUAAUUUGAUUUAAUUGUUCCACUGUGUAUACAUAUAUCAAAACAUCAUGUUAUACACCAUACAUAUAUACAAUUUUUCACCUUGCCAAUUAGAAAUAAAAAUUAUUCAUAUAAAAUAAAAAUAAAAAUAAAAAAUAAAAUUCAAAUUCAUAACCCAAAUUUCCCUAGACCUCUGCUUCCUCUGCAUAUAACAUGUUUGAGUCUCGCCUAAACUCAAAUUGGACCUCCACAGUCUUAGCAAAACUCUUUUAGAAAGUGCAAUAAUAUUUCUUAAUAAUCUGUCCCAGGUUAUCACUUUCCAUAAGAAUAUCCUUUUUUGAGUUCUCCUUGAAACCAUAGUUCAAAACAAAUGUGUUUGUUCUUGCAUUAUUUUUGGUAGAGAGAAGAACUAUGUGAUAAGAUAAACCUUAAGAUAAAUCCAUGUCUAUUGGGGAUAAAAGUUUUCAGUUAUUCUGCUCUUCACAAACUAACCCUAGUUCCUCUAAUCUUAAAGGUUUUAGCUUUCAACUUUUAGUUAUUUGAAUUUUGGGGGAAAGAUCUCACAUCAAUUUCUCCAUGUUAAGAUUUAAAUAACCAAACUGGAAGUUAAGUUUUUUUUUCUUUUUUGACAGAGUCUAGCUCUGUCGCCCAGGCUGGAGUGCAGUGGUGCGAUCUGGGCUCACUGCCAGCUCCGCCUCCCGGGUUCACGCCA